ACUGGGUUUGUACGUAACUUCAGCUUUAGGACCCAGGAGGUCGCAUAUCUAGGAUGCAUUCGUCGAUUCGCAUGCUGCGAUUGGUGGUCCAGAUGCAACUCAUUUUGAGUGACAGAAAAACUGACCAAUCAUACUGUUCCUCUGAAUGGGUGGGUUCUCUUAUCACUAACUCUCAUAGAUAUGUAUCAUGUAUGUAUCUAUUAUGACAAAUUCUGCUCGCUCGCUCGCUUGGUUCGUGUUAUAAAAAUAAAUGUGACUUUACUGCGGUCUUUUUCGGUUUAUUUAGUUUUGUGUUAACUAUAUCCACAAAGUAUUCGAAUAAAUUGGUAAUAUAAAACUAUUCUUCGCUGUAAAUUAAUUGUGUGCUCAAUUGCGACGCCCUGUGUUGAAUUUUCCCGCGAGUACAGUAUCAUUACUGAGGGGAAAUAUAACAUUAUUCAUUUAAUUCCACAAAAGGCCUGUAACGUACUGCAGCUUCCUGCAGGCAACGUGAAACAUUGCUGAGGGAGAACUUUAUUCACAACAAAAGGAUAAAGAUGAAGAUGCGGGACUUGAGCAGCUUGUGAUGGCUGUAAUUGUUAAGAAUGGAUCUUCUAGGAGUGGAAGCCCAAAUGAUGCUGGAAUUAUUAUUGAGGCCUUAAAGGUGUUCACAGGGCAUGCUUUAUCCUUGGAUCUAUGAAUUGAAUCUCCAGUAUCCCAGGCAUCUUUUCAGGUGUUUCAGAAACUUUUCUUGGAGCUGGAUUCUUAAAAGUUUAUGAACUGAUUACAGUACAGUAAGUCUAAACUGCUGUCUGAUUUUCUGGGUGUGAAUCAAUGUAACAGAACACAAACAUGGAACCUUGUGGACGGGAAAUGUGGACGGUUUCUUUAAAGACUGUAAAAUACUUUUUGAAGUUUACACUGUUACAAAUACAUCAUUAAAAUGAGAUGCUUUCCUGCUUUUUUGACUGACUGCAAUAAAAUAAGAAUUGAUUCAUCUUUGUCUGUCAUUCUGAAAUCAGAUAUAAUACUCAUUACUAAUAAAAAUAUUAAUGGAUGAUGUUAAAUUAAAAUAGUAUAAUUGAAUAGAAUUUAUUGUAUAGUGCUAGGUCUUUGUCCUGUAUACCCAAUAUUUUGUUUAAAUUUAAAUUAAUUUCUAAUUGCAAAUUGCAGAUUACCUUUUUGAAUGGGUUACUAUUAAGGAGUUUAUGUAGUGAUUCUAACACAAUUUUUAUUUGUUGAAUUUAAUUAAUGAUAUUGCUUGUAAUCUGUUGCCACACUUUUAUUGAGUAGAUAUGGCAUAAUAUUUUUUAUUGUAUAGUGCUAGAUCUUUGUCUAGUAUACACAAUAUUUUUGUUUAAAUUUUAAUAAAAAUUUUAAUUGCAAAUUGCAGUUUGGCUUUUUGAAUAUGUAAAUAUUAAGGAGUUUAUAGAGUAAAUCUAAAUCAAUUUUGAUUUGUUGAAUGUAAUUAAUGAUAUUGCUUGUAAUCUGUUGCCACAAUUUUAUUGAGUAGAUGGGGCAUAUUAUU
This is a non-coding RNA of Misgurnus anguillicaudatus (oriental weatherfish), 1507 nucleotides long. NCBI's taxonomy places the organism in Eukaryota, Metazoa, Chordata, Actinopteri, Cypriniformes, Cobitidae. The record is from RefSeq and is a predicted model, not a curated record.